AUAGUCUAGCCUUAAUACUUUUAUGGUUGGUAAAGAUAGCCUCUUCUUGAAAGCUAUUGCCUGUAGAUGAGUCCGCGUCUCAUUAGCUUGUUGGUAGGGUAACGCCUACCAAGGCAACGAUGAGUAACUGGUCUGAGAGGAUGAUCAGUCACACUGGAACUGAAACACGGUCCAGACUCUACGGGAGGCAGCAGUGGGGAAUAUUGGGCAAUGGGCGCAAGCCUGACCCAGCAACGCCGUGUGAGGGAUGAAGGUCUUCGGAUUGUAAACCUCUGUCAGAAGGGAAGAAGUGCAUAGGGUCCAAUAGGCCUUAUGUUUGACGGUACCUUCAGAGGAAGCACCGGCUAACUCCGUGCCAGCAGCCGCGGUAAUACGGAGGGUGCAAGCGUUAUUCGGAAUUACUGGGCGUAAAGCGUACGUAGGCGGCAUAGUAAGUCAGGUGUGAAAUCCCACGGCUCAACCGUGGAACUGCACUUGAAACUGCUAAGCUUGAGUACUGGAGGGGGUGGCGGAAUUCCUGGUGUAGGAGUGAAAUCCGUAGAUAUCAGGAGGAACACCAGUGGCGAAGGCGGCCACCUGGACAGUAACUGACGCUGAGGUACGAAAGCGUGGGUAGCAAACAGGAUUAGAUACCCUGGUAGUCCACGCUGUAAACGAUGGAUACUAGAUGUCGGGCCUUGAGCUUCGGUGUCAAACGUAACGCAUUAAGUAUCCCGCCUGGGAGUACGGUCGCAAG
RNAcentral lists this ribosomal RNA (736 nucleotides) under Desulfomicrobium sp. La1.1. Its description in RNAcentral is "bacterial SSU rRNA". It matches the Rfam family "Bacterial small subunit ribosomal RNA", at positions 173 to 892 of the family's 1533-position model. The record is from RNAcentral. Lineage: Bacteria; Pseudomonadati; Thermodesulfobacteriota; Desulfovibrionia; Desulfovibrionales; Desulfomicrobiaceae.